RNAcentral lists this ribosomal RNA (253 nucleotides) under uncultured bacterium. RNAcentral describes it as "partial 16S ribosomal RNA". It matches the Rfam family "Bacterial small subunit ribosomal RNA", at positions 524 to 776 of the family's 1533-position model. The record is from RNAcentral.
UACGUAGGUGGCAAGCGUUAUCCGGAAUUAUUGGGCGUAAAGAGCGCGCAGGUGGUUAAUUAAGUCUGAUGUGAAAGCCAACGGCUUAACCGUGGAGGGUCAUUGGAAACUGGUUGACUUGAGUGCAGAAGAGGGAAGUGGAAUUCCAUGUGUAGCGGUGAAAUGCGUAGAGAUAUGGAGGAACACCAGUGGCGAAGGCGGCUUCCUGGUCUGCAACUGACACUGAGGCGCGAAAGCGUGGGGAGCAAACAGG